Molecule: long non-coding RNA, 4137 nt
Organism: Monomorium pharaonis (pharaoh ant)
Lineage: Eukaryota; Metazoa; Arthropoda; Insecta; Hymenoptera; Formicidae
Exons: 2
Source: RefSeq, a predicted model, not a curated record
CUGUUUUAUUUAUAUCUUGCAAUAUGAAUUUUUAAUUUUUUAUACUGUUUUUUAUUAUGUGUGAUUUUAGUCUAUUUUGAUUAUUGAUGUAACAUUUUGCUAUAACUAUUAAACAAAUUUUUUUAGCGCGAAUGGAAAAAGUGAUUGAUCUUUGUGAUUGAUCUUUUUGUUUUCUUAAAUUUUGAGAAGUAACAGUUUGUCCAUCUUGAUAAUGUGUAUAAUUAUAAACGAAAAAGUGAAAUACAUUGUAAACAGUCUAAUAGAAAAAUAUUGUGUCUAGAUCAUGAAAAAGUUAUUUAUUUUUUUCUAAAAAUUAUUUAUUUUUAAUUUAUUUUUUCAUUAAUGUUUAUAAAGUUAAUAUUGUAAUUUAAAACUAAAAAUAUAUUUUGAGGAGAGUUAUUUUUUCAUGAUCUAUCUGUAUUUUAUUUCCGCGUGCAAGAAAAAUCUACGACUUUUGUCGGUACAUUUAUAAAUUAAUAGAUUCGAACAAAAAUUCUGCAAAUAGCCAUAAAUGUGCGUUAUAUAACUUUGUAAAUGUAAAAAUAUGUUUCGAUCUCCUUUUCUUAAUUUGUGAGUUUUUAUUGUGUAUGAAUUGCGAAGUCUGCGACUGCAAUAGAAUGAGUGAGAAGUGUACGUUUUCAAAAGAGUUUAAGUCUACUCUUAGUAAAAUUACUUUUUUAAAAUAAUACACAUGAUAAUUAAAAAAUGAUUUCUGCUUGCAUCUGAAGAAAAAUGGACCGAGCUUUUUUGGAAACAAUGAUUGCAUUGUAAUGCGUGCCAUUUGCGAACCUAUAUGCAGUCGACAAUCUGACUCAUUUACGAUGCUCGAAUGUAUCGUUUACCUCAAUAAAAUAGUAUUAAAAAAAAUCAACAUAAUUGCGACGAUUGACUCGUCUAAGAAAGUACGUGUUAACCUCCAUCAAGUAGUUGUGAUAUUGCAUGAUUAUUCUCGCAUUAAUUUCUGUGCAUUUUUUUAUAUAAAUUUUUAUGAUUACAUUCGUGUGAUUCAUGAUCUGAAAGUUAAAAAAAAUUUAAAUAAAAUUAUAGACAACUUUAUUGUCAAUUAACUUUGUUGUGAAUUUAUUUCAUGUGAAAAACAGAUAGUUUUUGUUUUAUAUUAUGCAAAUUUAAUAUAUGAGUUUUUGUGGAUUCGUAAUUUUCACAAGAGUGUAACGCUAAAGAGAAACGUCACGUGUAUAUGUAGCGAAUAAAAUUCGUAUUUAUUGCACGUCGCUUGGUUACUCGGAGACAAUAUGAAUGAAAAUAAAGAUAGUCGUGCUUCACUUUCCCUCAAGAUGCACAUCGGUGUUGCGCAUUUUGCAGUCAUGUAUAUGCGAUGUAAUGAUUUUUGUUAUCUUUCUUUGUACAGCGAAAUAAGAUCCCAAACGCCUCGGAGCGUGGUGAGCGAUGCCGAUUUUCAAUCUUCACGCGAUGUACGCACCACGGUGUUACGUAAAGUAAAAACAAGAUUCUCUGGACGUAUGAUUCAAUACGCAGGCUAUGGCAUUAGAAUCGUAUCGCUUGGCUGCGUUACGAUGUCGUUUCAGUCUUGGGAAGUGUGCUUUCGUGGAUCGCAAAACCGGUAAAAAUUGUAUUAAUAUCCUUGGCUUGCUUUCAGAUAUGCGACUGUCAGAGUGGCGUAACGUAAGACCGGUGACCAGCUAUAUCUGCCCGAAAUGCAACGCGGGCUUCCGGAGGACGUGGGACCUGAUUAGGCAUAAAUGUGGCCAGACGCUGCGAUACGCGUGUCCGUAUUGUCACAAAAAGGACAAUUCGUCCUCGAACGUUUACAGGCACAUCAGGCGGUGGCAUCCGAAUCAGCCCGUUAAUGUAAACAGAAUGUUCUGAACGGUACCGUAUAACGGGAUACCGAUCGAAAACCGACUGAUAAUAUAUUCUUACUGGCUAUUUAUAUUACAUAUACGAGAAUAAAUUGUUCUGAAAGAUGUCCUGUUGUUAGCAGAAAUACUAACUACUGACUGAAAAUAUAUUCCUACUUAACGUAAGAAUAAAUUUCUCUUUAGAUGUCUCGACGCAAACUUUGAAUAUAGUUUUCUAUGUAAUUCCUCUCCCCCAUAAAUCUAACAUGCAGCACCUUAAUUUACCUUAUAUUUCCAAUCUUUUAUAAUUUUGCUGUUUGUCACGCAGCGCAAUUGGGAUUUUCUCCAACUUUUUAUAUAAAUAUUUCUAUUUUUUAUCUGAUAAUAUUUUUAUUUUUUAUAUUUCGAUAAAAUAACGAUAUUACAAUAUUAACGUGAUAGAAAAUAUCUCGGGAAUCAUAGUUGCAAAUUUCAAGCCUUUACACUAAACACGAUUAUUAUAAUCCGAAUCAUCUAAUUUAAUUGUUUAAUUUUAAUAAUAUAAAAGCCCGCAUGUAAUGCAGUUAUCGCAGACACAAAGUUACAUGGUUUACCCUAAUGCUAAAUGAUAUACAUACAAAUGGACGGAUAGGGAGCGAUGACACGUUUGCAACAGAGUGCAGCUUGAUGUGUCCUACAUUGCGAUUGUGUGAUUAUAACUCGAGCUUCGAGUUACGUGCAAAAUUAAUCAUAUGGCUUUAUUUCUGUUGUUUCCCGACCUGACUUGUCUCUUAUGCCGCAUUUGUUUGUUGCGUAUAUAACGACCCGUAGGGAACGAGAACGAUCCAUGUUAUAUUUUGUAGACGAGCAAUUAUGCCUAUACAUCUAUACAGCAGGAAUAAAGCUUCUUUCCAGUUGAGAGAAAAGAAAUUGGCAUCGAUCGUUUUCGAUUCCGAACAGCUGACACAAUCCCCCAUCCCGUGAGCAUCCUCGCAGGAUACACUCCAUCGAUCCAGCUGAAGCGUGCGUUCGUUCUCUUAUGUUAAUCUUACUUCUCUCGACACCACGGAUUCGCGCACAUUCACGAUCUCGGGGUGAGAACGGAAAGUAAUCCGAGGAGCGAACCCCGCGCGUUGUCGGCCACCGCUAACUCGACCCUUCGAAUUUUUCAGGUGCCCGCCAGGUGAACGCCGCCCGGAAGCGUCACAAAGUGUACUCCUUGAACAAGAGUCACUACUGCCCGCGCUGCAACCGCGGCUUUACCCUGAAGAAGAACAUGAUGCGGCAUCUGCGCCACGAAUGCGGCAUGGCGCCAAAGUAUCAGUGCCCGUACUGCGACAAGCCCUCCAAAUUCACGCAGAACAUUUACUCGCACAUCCGAAAGUAUCAUCCCGGUCAGGCCUUGUGCUUCAGGCGGUUGUACUGAGCAGUGUCAUAGAGCGUGUGGGACGGCCGGAUCGAUCGUCCCAUUCACCUCUUCGUUCGCUUUCGUUCGGAUCGUUCCUUUGUUAUCCGGCUAACACUGAAAAAAAAAAAAGCCUUUGUGAAAGAAAGGAAAAGUCAAAUAAAAUUCCUGCGAGUCGAGCGUUACUCACGUCCAAUCUCUGAUCCCGCUUCUACGAUCGAAGUGCUGCCAGCCCCCGACACAAGCGGUUCACUUGCAAGCGCUGCGACAAACGAUACGUCUACAACAGGGACCUGACGAGGCAUCAGAUGUACGACUGCGGCAGAUCACCGCGUUUCAAGUGCCCGUACUGCGGCCAGCGGGCUAAGUAUCGCUCGACCAUUUACAAUCACGUGCGAGCAAUACAUCCCGAGAUGGACGUGUCGACAGUAGACCUUGGCUAUGAUAUUUAUUUCGCGUAAAAAAUCCGGACUUAUUAUUUUUUUGCGCGCGAAACGAUUAAGUUCACUGACAGUGGGGGAGAUCUAUCGGAGUUGUUGAACUACGUAAAUCUGUUGUUUUCUAAUACAUCACUAAAUGUUUAUAUGGAACAAUCUGCCUUCUCCCCCCCCCUCACCAUUGUCUACUUUGCAGUGAGAAGAGAAACGCACGCUCGAAUCGAGCGACGAUAACACCUUGUAUCUUGUCAACUUUGUGAUCGGUGAGCAUGCGACAUCAUUUUUUAUCAACUUUUAUAAUUUCGAAAAUGAAUAAAAAAAUAACGAAUAAAAACCUACCAUGUAUCUCUCGUAUCGAGGAUGUCUUCAUUUCGCAAUGAAUGUUGUAUUACUGUAUUUCUCUUGUACUCCCAUACUCGUCUUCUCCUGGUCGAAGUGUACUUGGGUUCACGUAACGUUUACCGUCUCCAUUUCCUUGCUUGUUUAUUUUUCAGGA